CCUACGGGUGGCAGCAGUGAGGAAUAUUGGUCAAUGGUCGGGAGUCUGACCCAGCCAAGCCGCGUGAGGGAGGAAGGUACAGAGUAUCGUAAACCUCUUUUGUCAGGGAACAAAGACUGGGACGCGUCCCCGGAUGAGUGUACCUGAAGAUAAAGCAUCGGCUAACCCCGUGCCAGCAGCCGCGGUAAUACGGAGGAGGCGAGCGUUAUCCGUAUUUAUUGGGUUUAAAGGGUGGGCAGGCGGUCUGUUAAGUCAGCGGUCAAAGCCCGGGGCUCAACCCCGGCCCGCCGUUGAAACUGGUAGUCUCGAGUUGGAGAGAGGUAUGCGGAAUGCGCGGUGUAGCGGUGAAAUGCAUAGAUAUCGGGCAGAACUCCGAUUGCGAAGGCGGCAUGCCGGCUCCACACUGACGCUGAGGCACGAAAGCGUGGGUAUCGAACAGGAUUAGAUACCCCUGUAGUC
This 459-nucleotide ribosomal RNA is filed under the name uncultured bacterium. RNAcentral's name for it is "partial 16S ribosomal RNA". It matches the Rfam family "Bacterial small subunit ribosomal RNA", at positions 338 to 795 of the family's 1533-position model. The record is from RNAcentral.